This 696-nucleotide ribosomal RNA is filed under the name Chiasmocleis capixaba. RNAcentral describes it as "partial 12S ribosomal RNA". It matches the Rfam family "Bacterial small subunit ribosomal RNA", at positions 272 to 1349 of the family's 1533-position model. Lineage: Eukaryota; Metazoa; Chordata; Amphibia; Anura; Microhylidae. The record is from RNAcentral.
ACCAAGGAAAAGGAGCCGGUAUCAGGCUCAGCUUUAAGCCCACGACACCUAGCCACGCCACGCCCACAAGGGUAUUCAGCAGUGAUAAACCUUGUUUAUAAGCGCAAGCUUGAAUCAGCUAUGGCAAAGAGGGCCGGCAAAUCCGGUGCCAGCCGCCGCGGCUACACCGUUAGGCCCAAGUUGAUACACACCGGCGUUAAGCGUGAUUAGAGUGAUUACACUGAUUAGAGUUAAACCCAAACUUAGUCGUGAUACACUUGUUCCCGGGAAACCCAAAAACGAAAGUUACUCUAACCAACCCACUUGACCCCACGACAGCUAGGACACAAACUGGGAUUAGGUACCCCACUAUGCCUAGCCGUAAAAUAUACACUCACCCCAUAAAUCGCCAGGGAAUUACGAGCCCAAGCUUAAAACCCAAAGGACUUGACGGUGUCCCACCCACCUAGAGGAGCCUGUUCUAUAAUCGAUUCCCCCCGAUAAACCUCACCACUUCUGGCCAACUCAGCCUGUAUACCUCCGUCGUAAGCUUACCAUGUGAACGAAGCCAGUGAGCCAAAAGAUCCAACAUCAGUACGUCAGGUCAAGGUGCAGCUAACGAACUGGAAAGAAAUGGGCUACAAUUUCUACCAUAGAACAAACGAAAGGCUACAUGAAACAUAGUCACUGAAGGCGGAUUUAGCAGUAAAAAGAAAA